RNAcentral lists this transfer-messenger RNA (372 nucleotides) under Breoghania corrubedonensis. Its description in RNAcentral is "alpha proteobacterium UBF-P1 Alphaproteobacteria transfer-messenger RNA". It matches the Rfam family "Alphaproteobacteria transfer-messenger RNA". From Rfam's summary of the family: Bacterial tmRNA, also known as 10Sa RNA or SsrA, is named for its dual tRNA and mRNA-like properties. Its role is to liberate the mRNA from a stalled ribosome. To accomplish this part of the tmRNA is used as a reading frame that ends in a translation stop signal. Lineage: Bacteria; Pseudomonadati; Pseudomonadota; Alphaproteobacteria; Hyphomicrobiales; Stappiaceae. The record is from Rfam by way of RNAcentral.
ACUCUUUUCAUUCCGCUCGCCCCUCCCUAUAUUCGGUUUGCCGGGGCAACCCGGCUAUGGCGAUAAACGGUCAGUGCAAUAAGCCUUUCGGACCCGGGGGCGGUACCCGGCGCCUCCACCCGAGCCCAUCGACGCAGCAAGGCGAUAUCGGUGGGUUCCGGCGGGGGCGAAAUAGGAUCGACGAGGGUGUAAAGACUGCGCUUUCGCUCGGCAUGGUUCCGCCGUUAUCGGGCCUUAUCAAUAGUUGCAAACGACAACUAUGCUAUGGACAACGCUGUCGCCGCGUAAUGCGGUGCCGGUAGUCCUUUAAAGCCCUCCCGGGUAGCACCAGGAGGCGGGGUUCGGAGGCACCUGGCAACAGAAGCCUCCACU